Molecule: ribosomal RNA, 497 nt
Filed under: uncultured bacterium
Lineage: Bacteria
Description: partial 16S ribosomal RNA
Rfam family: Bacterial small subunit ribosomal RNA
Source: RNAcentral
GAUGAACGCUGGCGGCGUGCCUAAUACAUGCAAGUCGAGCGAACAGACGAGGAGCUUGCUCCUCUGACGUUAGCGGCGGACGGGUGAGUAACACGUGGAUAACCUACCUGUAAGACUGGGAUAACUUCGGGAAACCGGAGCUAAUACCGGAUAAUAUAUUGAACCGCAUGGUUCAAUAGUGAAAGACGGUUUUGCUGUCACUUAUAGAUGGAUCCGCGCCGCAUUAGCUAGUUGGUAUGGUAACGGCUUACCAAGGCAACGAUGCGUAGCCGACCUGAGAGGGUGAUCGGCCACACUGGAACUGAGACACGGUCCAGACUCCUACGGGAGGCAGCAGUAGGGAAUCUUCCGCAAUGGGCGAAAGCCUGACGGAGCAACGCCGCGUGAGUGAUGAAGGUCUUCGGAUCGUAAAACUCUGUUAUUAGGGAAGAACAAAUGUGUAAGUAACUAUGCACGUCUUGACGGUACCUAAUCAGAAAGCCACGGCUAACUACGUG